GGUGGCUUAAUGGUAGAGUGCUUGCCUUGCAUGCAUGAGGCUCUGGGUUCGAUUCCUCAGCACCA
This 65-nucleotide transfer RNA is filed under the name Dipodomys ordii (Ord's kangaroo rat). It matches the Rfam family "tRNA". Rfam says of the family: Transfer RNA (tRNA) molecules are approximately 80 nucleotides in length. Their secondary structure includes four short double-helical elements and three loops (D, anti-codon, and T loops). Lineage: Eukaryota; Metazoa; Chordata; Mammalia; Rodentia; Heteromyidae. The record is from Rfam by way of RNAcentral.